AUACGGAGGGUGCAAGCGUUAUUCGGAAUCACUGGGCGUAAAGGACGCGUAGGCGGGUUGGCAAGUCAGAUGUGAAAUCCUACAGCUUAACUGUGGAACUGCAUUUGAAACUGCUAACCUAGAGUAUGGGAGGGGGAGAUGGAAUUAGUGGUGUAGGGGUAAAAUCCGUAGAUAUCACUAGGAAUACCGAAAGCGAAGGCGAUCUCCUGGAACAUAACUGACGCUAAGGCGUGAAAGCGUGGGGAGCAAACAGGAUUAGAUACCCUAGUAGUCC
RNAcentral lists this ribosomal RNA (274 nucleotides) under uncultured bacterium. RNAcentral describes it as "partial 16S ribosomal RNA". It matches the Rfam family "Bacterial small subunit ribosomal RNA", at positions 523 to 796 of the family's 1533-position model. The record is from RNAcentral.